RNAcentral lists this non-coding RNA (189 nucleotides) under Curvibacter lanceolatus ATCC 14669. RNAcentral's name for it is "RT-15 RNA". It matches the Rfam family "RT-15 RNA". Rfam says of the family: Proteobacteria. Lineage: Bacteria; Pseudomonadati; Pseudomonadota; Betaproteobacteria; Burkholderiales; Comamonadaceae. The record is from Rfam by way of RNAcentral.
GGUCGCCCGCCGCAUGAGUGUCAAGGCCUCAUGCCUGUGCGAAUUUUGAAUCUGGUUGCACCGCUGCCCCACAAGGGCACCGCCAAGCGCACCACAGAUACCACCGCCCCAGGCGCGCAGGUCUGGCGCAGUUUCUCCAGUGAUCGGCAGCAGCCUUCGCCGGGGCGACGUAGAUAGUGCAAUCCUCAG